AGUGAACGCUGGCGGUAUGCCUAACACAUGCAAGUCGAACGGCAGCACAUUAAGCGCUUGCUCUUUCGGGUGGCGAGUGGCGGAUGGGUGAGGCAUACAUCGGCAUCUAUUUUUUCGUGGGGGAUAACGUAGGGCAACUUACGCUACUACCUCAUACGACUUACGGGUGAAUUCAGGUUUUCUUCGUACCUUUCGCUCUUUAAUGAGCCAUUGUCGGUUUAGCUAGUUGGCGGGGUAAAGGCCCACCAAGGCGACGAACAGUAGCUGGACUGACAGGAUGGUCAGCCACGCUGGAACUGAGACAAGGGCCAGACUCCUAAGGGAGGCAGCAGUGGGGAAUAUUGGACAAUGGGCGCAAGCCUGAACCAGCCAUACCGCGUGGGGGAAGAAGGCUUUCGGGUUGGAAAGACCUUUUGUUGGGAAAGAAAAGCAGCAGGUAAAUAAACCGCUGUUCUGACGGUACAAAAAGAAUAGAAACCGGCUAAAUUCGUG
Molecule: ribosomal RNA, 492 nt
Filed under: uncultured bacterium
Lineage: Bacteria
Description: partial 16S ribosomal RNA
Rfam family: Bacterial small subunit ribosomal RNA
Source: RNAcentral